RNAcentral lists this ribosomal RNA (433 nucleotides) under uncultured bacterium. RNAcentral describes it as "partial 16S ribosomal RNA". It matches the Rfam family "Bacterial small subunit ribosomal RNA", at positions 29 to 507 of the family's 1533-position model. The record is from RNAcentral.
AACGAACGCUGGCGGCAUGCCUAACACAUGCAAGUCGAACGAGACCUUCGGGUCUAGUGUCGCCUGGGUUCGUAACGCGUCGGAACCUGCCCUUAGGUUCGGAAUAACUCCCCGAAAGGGGUGCUAAUACCGGAUAAUGUCUUCGGACCAAGGAUUUAUCGCCCUUGGAUGGGCCGGCGUUGAAUUCGCUAUUUCUUAGGGUAAAAGACUACCACGGCGACGAUCCAUAGCUGGUAUGUGAGAAUGAUCAGCCACACUGAGACUGAGACACGGCCGAGACUCCUACGCGAGGCAGCAGUGGGGAACAUUGGACCAUGGCGGAAGUGCUGAUGCACUUAUGCCGCGAAAGUGAUGAUAGUAUGAAGGUUGUAAAGCUCAAUUACCUGGGAUCGUAAUGACAGUACCGGGAGAAAAAGCUACGGCUAACUCCGUG